RNAcentral lists this long non-coding RNA (416 nucleotides) under Glycine max (soybean). RNAcentral describes it as "long non-coding RNA (GMAX_LNC003826)". The record is from RNAcentral. Lineage: Eukaryota; Viridiplantae; Streptophyta; Magnoliopsida; Fabales; Fabaceae.
AGAAAGAACAGGAAAUUCUCUUGCAUAUAUUUUGUCAAAACGUCCCUACUGGAAAUAGACAAUACAAGGAGGAAACUAGUAGAAGGGUAGCCCAGUUCACUGGUGAAUAAAUACAAUUCUGCUUUCUCAAUGGAUACAAAACCGAAUUUAUAUAGUAUUAAUUACAGAGUAUUACUAUUACCAUACCCGAAGGCAACGGGGAAAAAGGUUCAAGAGGGACAACAGACUUAUCUUGACUUCUGGUCGUUCUCGCCCAUCUCUGUAUUUGCUACAUUUCUCAUCUCUCAGAACAAUAGAAUAAAUAUUGUUCCAUGACAACAUAACCACCACGGCAUUUAGAUAAACCACUUUACAUUAAUUUAAUUUGAUAAAAAAGGUAAUGUCUAUAAUUGUAUCAACCAGAGGCCCUAGCUAAU